UUUUGAUGAAAAGUCACUUUCUAGACAUAAAAUGUCACUUUUUUCACCUUAUCAUACUUUUUCAUCAACUUUUGCAUUUUAAUGUAAACAAUCAUAUUUCGUAAUAUUUUGGGUCAGAAACAUUUCAUAGUACUAUAUUAUGUCUAACUAUGUGAAAAAAAUCAAAUUGGAGUACGUUGUGCACUUGAUUAUAUGAGUUUGUUAGAAAAACCACUUUCCUUUGCUCCUAGCGCCUUCUCGUUCGCUGUAUAGCGUUUUGAGCGGAUAAAGAGCACAAGUGUGUAAGGAGACACAGGAUGAAUGGGAACUAGUUUUGUAAUUGUACUUUUGAUGAAAAGUCACUUUCUAGACAUAAAAUGUCACUUUUUUCACCUUAUCAUACUUUUUCAUCAACUUUUGCAUUUUAAUGUAAACAAUCAUAUUUCGUAAUAUUUUGGGUCAGAAACAUUUCAUAGUACUAUAUUAUGUCUAACUAUGUGAAAAAUAUCAAAUUGGAGUAGGUCAGUGCAACUGAUUAUAUGAGUUUGUUAGAAAAACCACUUUCCUUUGCUCCUAGCGCCUUCUCGUUCGCUGUAUAGCGUUUUGAGCGGAUAAAGAGCACAAGUGUGCAUGGAGACACAGGAUGAAUGGGAACUAGUUUUGUUAUUGUACUUUUGAUGAAAAGUGACUUUCUAGACAUAAACUGUCACUUUUUUCACCUUAUCACACUUUAACAUCAACUUUUACACUUUAAUGUAAACAAUCAUAUUUCGUAAUAUUUUAGGUCAGAAACAUUUCAUAGUACUAUAUUAUGUCUAAAUAUGUGAAAAAUAUCAUAUUGCAGUAGGUCGGGCAAUUGAUUAUAUGAGUUUGUUUGAAAAACCACUUUCCUUUGCUCCUAGCGCCUUCUCAAGCGCUGUAUAGCGUUUUG
Long non-coding RNA from Ictalurus punctatus (channel catfish), 910 nucleotides. The record is from Ensembl. Lineage: Eukaryota; Metazoa; Chordata; Actinopteri; Siluriformes; Ictaluridae.